RNAcentral lists this ribosomal RNA (1344 nucleotides) under Pseudomonas nitroreducens. Its description in RNAcentral is "bacterial SSU rRNA". It matches the Rfam family "Bacterial small subunit ribosomal RNA", at positions 133 to 1433 of the family's 1533-position model. The record is from RNAcentral. Lineage: Bacteria; Pseudomonadati; Pseudomonadota; Gammaproteobacteria; Pseudomonadales; Pseudomonadaceae.
GUAGUGGGGGACAACGUUUCGAAAGGAACGCUAAUACCGCAUACGUCCUACGGGAGAAAGCAGGGGACCUUCGGGCCUUGCGCUAUCAGAUGAGCCUAGGUCGGAUUAGCUAGUUGGUGGGGUAAAGGCCUACCAAGGCGACGAUCCGUAACUGGUCUGAGAGGAUGAUCAGUCACACUGGAACUGAGACACGGUCCAGACUCCUACGGGAGGCAGCAGUGGGGAAUAUUGGACAAUGGGCGAAAGCCUGAUCCAGCCAUGCCGCGUGUGUGAAGAAGGUCUUCGGAUUGUAAAGCACUUUAAGUUGGGAGGAAGGGCAGUAAGUUAAUACCUUGCUGUUUUGACGUUACCAACAGAAUAAGCACCGGCUAACUUCGUGCACGAGCAGCCGCGGGGAAUACUGAGUAGGGUGCAAACGUUAUUAUCGGAAUUAUUCUGGGCGUAAACGCGCGCGCAGGGGGUUUGGUAAGAUGCAUGGUGAAUAUCCCCGGGCUCACACCCGGGAAACUGCAUCAAUAACUGACUGCAAUAGCUAGUACGGGAGAGGGUGGGGGAAUUUCCUGUGUAGCGCAGAAAAAUGCGUAGAUAUAGGAAGAGAACACCAGGGGCGAAAACGCACCACCCCGGACUGAUACUGACACUGUCAGGCGCGAAAGCGUGGGGAGCAAACACGAGAUUAGAUAUCCCUGGUAGUCCACACCGUAUAACGAUGUCGACAUAGCCGUUUGUGGAUCCUUGAGAUCUUCAGUGACGCAAGCUAACGCGAUGAAGUCGACCCCCUGGGGAAGUACGGCCGCAAGGUUAGAAACUUCAAAUGAAAUGACGGGGGACCGCCCCAACGGUGGGACAAGUGGUUUAAUUUGAAGCAACCGGAAGAACCUUUCCCCGCCUUUGCCAGUCCAGGAUCUUGCCGAGAAUGGAGAGGUCCUUGAAGAAUAGCAACCCCGCAGGUGCAGCACGGUUGUCAUCAGGUGUCGUGAGAAGAUGGGGUAAGUACUCUAGCGAGGACAACCAUCCUCCUCAGUAGUCAGCACAUUCAGGUGGGCACUCUAAGGGGACUGCCGGUGACAAACCGGAGGAAGGUGGGGAUGACGUCAAGUCAUCAUGGCCCUUAUAGCCAGGGCUACACACGUCAUACAAUGGUCGGUACAAAGGGUUGCCAACCCGCGAGGGGGAGCUAAUCCCAUAAAACCGGUCGUAGUCCGGAUCGCAGUCUGCAACUCGACUGCGUGAAGUCGGAAUCGCUAGUAAUCGUGAAUCAGAAUGUCACGGUGAAUACGUUCCCGGGCCUUGUACACACCGCCCGUCACACCAUGGGAGCUGGGUCGCUCCAGAAGUAGGUAG